UACGUAGGGUGCAAGCGUUGUCCGGAAUUAUUGGGCGUAAAGAGCUCGUAGGUGGCCUGUCGCGUCGGCUGUGAAAACUCGGGGCUCAACUCCGAGCUUGCAGUCGAUACUGGCAGGCUAGAGUUCGGCAGGGGAGACUGGAAUUCCUGGUGUAGCGGUGAAAUGCGCAGAUAUCAGGAGGAACACCGGUGGCGAAGGCGGGUCUCUGGGCCGAUACUGACACUGAGGAGCGAAAGCGUGGGGAGCGAACAGG
This 253-nucleotide ribosomal RNA is filed under the name uncultured bacterium. RNAcentral describes it as "partial 16S ribosomal RNA". It matches the Rfam family "Bacterial small subunit ribosomal RNA", at positions 524 to 776 of the family's 1533-position model. The record is from RNAcentral.